This 498-nucleotide ribosomal RNA is filed under the name uncultured bacterium. RNAcentral describes it as "partial 16S ribosomal RNA". It matches the Rfam family "Bacterial small subunit ribosomal RNA", at positions 30 to 523 of the family's 1533-position model. The record is from RNAcentral.
AUUGAACGCUGGCGGCAUGCCUUACACAUGCAAGUCGAACGGUAACAGGUCUUCGGAUGCUGACGAGUGGCGAACGGGUGAGUAAUACAUCGGAACGUGCCUAGUAGUGGGGGAUAACUACUCGAAAGAGUGGCUAAUACCGCAUGAGAUCUACGGAUGAAAGCAGGGGAUCGCAAGACCUUGUGCUACUAGAGCGGCCGAUGGCAGAUUAGGUAGUUGGUGGGAUAAAAGCUUACCAAGCCGACGGUCUGUAGCUGGUCUGAGAGGACGAUCAGCCACGCUGGGACUGAGACACGGCCCAGACUCCUACGGGAGGCAGCAGUGGGGAAUUUUGGACAAUGGGCGCAAGCCUGAUCCAGCAAUGCCGCGUGCAGGAUGAAGGCCUUCGGGUAGUAAACUGCUUUUGUACGGAACGAAAAGCCCCGGGUUAAUACCCUGGGGUCAUGACGGUACCGUAAGAAUAAGCACCGGCUAACUACGUGCCAGCCGCCGCGGUAA